UGGGGAAUAUUGCACAAUGGGCGCAAGCCUGAUGCAGCCAUGCCGCGUGUGUGAAGAAGGCCUUCGGGUUGUAAAGCACUUUCAGCGGGGAGGAAGGCGGUGAGGUUAAUAACCUCACCGAUUGACGUCACCCGCAGAAGAAGCACCGGCUAACUCCGUGCCAGCAGCCGCGGUAAUACGGAGGGUGCAAGCGUUAAUCGGAAUUACUGGGCGGAAAGCGCACGCAGGCGGUCUGUCAAGUCGGAUGUGAAAUCCCCGGGCUCAACCUGGGAACUGCGUUCGAAACUGGCAAGCUAGAGUAUUGUAGAGGGGGGUAGAAUUCCAGGUGUAGCGGUGAAAUGCGUAGAGAUCUGGAGAAAUACCGGUGGCGAAGGCGGCCCCCUGGACAAAGACUGACGCUCAGGUGCGAAAGCGUGGGGAGCAAACAGG
RNAcentral lists this ribosomal RNA (429 nucleotides) under Chloroflexota bacterium. RNAcentral describes it as "Chloroflexi bacterium partial 16S ribosomal RNA". It matches the Rfam family "Bacterial small subunit ribosomal RNA", at positions 355 to 776 of the family's 1533-position model. The record is from RNAcentral. Lineage: Bacteria; Bacillati; Chloroflexota.